Alligator sinensis (Chinese alligator) is the source of this 2586-nucleotide long non-coding RNA. RefSeq lists it as uncharacterized. The record is from RefSeq and is a predicted model, not a curated record. The transcript has 6 exons. NCBI's taxonomy places the organism in Eukaryota, Metazoa, Chordata, Crocodylia, Alligatoridae.
CAGCCGCCCCCCCCCCCCCAGCUAGAGCCCGGCCUGAGGAGGAGCGCUAGGCCCGACGCCCGCGGAGGGCCCUGCUUCCUCCAGUAUAGAAGGUACCAGGAUUUAGCCACUGAACGAAAGCUGACCGGAUGCCUCAAGAAGCUGAGUGUGCUGCCGCUUAGGACCUUUCCUUAAUUAUAUUAAGGCCAAGCGUCAAUACUCUAAGAUCCUAGAAAAUGGAGAAAAUCAUCAUUUGUUCACAACGCCACCCUCCCCUGCAUGGUUGCAAAAAUGGAAUGCGAGCGAGCGAUUUGGUGAAGCAUUGGUAUUUUCAGCAAAGCUGCCUGGCACCUUGGCAGAAAAUGCAAAGCUGUCUCUUUUCCUCCAGGGAUACUAUUAUGGAUACUAUAUGAUUAAGAAGCUUAAAAGCUGGAGGCAGUACAGAUCAUUUUGCAAAAAAAUGCACAAGUUUCCUUGAACACUCCUCUGAAGCAGCUGGGAUGGGCCACGAUGGUGAGAGAAGAUGCUCAACAGAGGUCUGCUUCCUUCAGUGUCUCAGCUCCAAAUGCCUUCGAGUUACACAACAAGCCUCUGCGUUACAUCACACGAGGCUCUUGAAAGGAAAGAUCGGGUGCUCCUGCUGAUACCGCUCUGCUCUAGAGAUGCUACAAAACACUCCAGCUGAAUAUAGGUAGCCAGAGCUGGAUGGCCUCCUUGUUUCUAGGCACUCCUAGAUAUUAUUGUUGGAAAGUCACAUAUCAUCCCAGAAGAGCCUUAUACUCUGUAUACAAGGCCGUUGGAUGUUGGUGAAAAGGAGGCAUAGGUUGCAAUGUUUUCAAUAUACCUCUGACACCCAUACCUUUGUAUCCAUAGACAAUUCCUUUUGAUUUAUGAUUUUGUGCUAUGUUUACUUCCUGAGAUGAUGGCUCAGAGCAUUAUAUCAGCACCUAACAAUGCAUUUUAGAAAUCUGAAAAAGCAACUAAAAAAGUGUCUCAUCGCAUCCAGGCAGUGCUGAUGAAUGCCUGAUCUGCGCUCUGGGCAAGGCAGAUGUGAAAAUGUAAAGUAGUUGCCUGAAGCUUGAUACAUGAUUAGACAGAGGUGAUGCUGGUGUAUGGGGGAAAACAGCCAGAAGAAAUGGCAAGGAUUCCCUCUGCCCCUACCAUUUAUAAGGUAUAACCUCAUUUCAUUAGUACCUAGAACAGACCUCAUGGGAUCAGGAGAAAAGUUCAUUAAAAAAGAAGACUUUUUAUAAAAAUGGAGGACAUAACAUGGAAGACAAAUGAUUUAUGCUGUUAGGAUUUUUUAAAGUGGGGUUUACCUGAGGAGGGUUUGUUACAACAACCUCAUACUGUCUACGAUCCCAUUACCAUCUGAACUGAGUGCCUCACAAUUUACCUUCACAGCACCUCGUGGGGGGCAGGGACAUACAAAGAGUUGAAGGAACUUGCCUGAGGUCAUUCUGAAGUCUAAAGUGGAGUAAGCCAUUGAACUUGGAUUUCACAAGCCAUUGAACUUGGAUUCCACCACCAGAGAGAUGGUGGAAGCUCCAUCCUUGGAGGUUUUCAAAACCUGGCUAGACAAAGCUUCGGCUGGGAUGAUCUAGUUAGGGUUGGUCCUGCUUUGAACUAGAUGUGACCUGCUAAGGUCCCUUCCAACCCUCGUUUCUAUGAAUCUAUGAUAAGUGUCUGGUCCCUACAGGAUGCACAUCCACUACCCACUAUGUAUGGCUCAGUCACCAGAGCAUGUUUACCUCUCAAGGGUUUGAAAAUGGUAGUAACAAUAAAAAUAUGUUACAAUUACCACUGAAUCUUCAGAUGAUCAAUGUUCAUAUAGCACCAGUGUCUAGAAGAUCUUUUUCUUAUUUAUAUCUGUUCAGAAAAUUGUGACUAUUUCUUUUGAAUGAAGAUCUUACAACUGUGGCCUAUGUCUUUGCCACCUCAAGAUUGAAUUAUAGCAAUGUGGUCUUUAAAGAGGUUAUGCCUCUUAUCAUCUGGUAAAUGGAUGAUGGAAUAGAAUUGGGCAGCUUGUUUAUUGAACUAUGCAUUUCACCAAAGGCAUGUGACUGAAGGUGUCCAGGAUAAGCACUGACUGACUAUUGAUUUCCAGAUGGUUUAGGCUUGUGGUUUUGACUUAUACAAUCAUAAAAAAAAAAAAAGCUGGUCUUCUUGAGGAACCACCUUUCAAAAUAAAUAUGUAAUAUAUUUCUGAUCUUGUUAAUUUUCUGUAUCAGGUAGUGAGAUGGCAAAGAUUUUUAUGGCACCUUGGUCUGUUUGGAUCUAAAAUGAGUGACACAAGUGGAAGUUAACAGCAAACCGGAAGUACAGAGUAAAGUAGUAGCAAUAAAUAGAAAGAAUGUAUUCUUAGGAACUACAGCAUUAGUUUAGAAGACACGUGUUGUGAGGUCUACUCUUUGCUGACUCAUUUUGUGCCCAUUGACAAGUCACCUAACUUUUGUAUACCUGGUUUACUGCAGCUAAGAAAAAAUACCUGUUUUAAAUGUCCGAGCAUAAACAUCCUAGAUGAAACAUGCUAUAAAAUUUGUAAGCUUUAUAAAGAUGAAUUAUUCUACUUAUAAAUGAGGAAAUAAAUACUCACAUACCUUGCAG